RNAcentral lists this ribosomal RNA (519 nucleotides) under uncultured bacterium. RNAcentral's name for it is "partial 16S ribosomal RNA". It matches the Rfam family "Bacterial small subunit ribosomal RNA", at positions 28 to 507 of the family's 1533-position model. The record is from RNAcentral.
GACGAACGCUGGCGGCGUGCCUAAUACAUGCAAGUCGAGCGAGUCUGCCUUGAAGAUCGGAGUGCUUGCACUCUGUGAAACAAGAUACAGGCUAGCGGCGGACGGGUGAGUAACACGUGGGUAACCUGCCCAAGAGAUCGGGAUAACACCUGGAAACAGAUGCUAAUACCGGAUAACAACAGAUGAUGCCUAUCAACUGUUUAAAAGAUGGUUCUGCUAUCACUCUUGGAUGGACCUGCGGUGCAUUAGCUAGUUGGUAGGGUAACGGCCUACCAAGGCGAUGAUGCAUAGCCGAGUUGAGAGACUGAUCGGCCACAUUGGGACUGAGACACGGCCCAAACUCCUACGGGAGGCAGCAGUAGGGAAUCUUCCACAAAGGACGCAAGUCUGAUGGAGCAACGCCGCGUGAGUGAAGAGGGGUUUCGGCUCGUAAAGCUCUGUUGUUGGUGAAGAAGGACAGGGGUAGUAACUGACCUUUGUUUGACGGUAAUCAAUUAGAAAGUCACGGCUAACUACGUG